GACGAACGCUGGCGGCGUGCCUAAUACAUGCAAGUUGAGCGCUGAAGGUUGGUACUUGUACCGACUGGAUGAGCAGCGAACGGGUGAGUAACGCGUGGGGAAUCUGCCUUUGAGCGGGGGACAACAUUUGGAAACGAAUGCUAAUACCGCAUAAAAACUUUAAACACAAGUUUUAAGUUUGAAAGAUGCAAUUGCAUCACUCAAAGAUGAUCCCGCGUUGUAUUAGCUAGUUGGUGAGGUAAAGGCUCACCAAGGCGAUGAUACAUAGCCGACCUGGGAGGGUGAUAGGCCACAUUGGGACUGAGACACGGCCCAAACUCCUGCGGGAGGCAGCAGUAGGGAAUCUUCGGCAAUGGACGAAAGUCUGACCGAGCAACGCCGCGUGAGUGAAGAAGGUUUUCGGAUCGUAAAACUCUGUUGGUAGAGAAGAACGUUGGUGAGAGUGGAAAGCUCAUCAAGUGACGGUAACUACCCAGAAAGGGACGGCUAACUACGUGCCAGCCGCCGCCGUAA
This 513-nucleotide ribosomal RNA is filed under the name uncultured bacterium. Its description in RNAcentral is "partial 16S ribosomal RNA". It matches the Rfam family "Bacterial small subunit ribosomal RNA", at positions 28 to 523 of the family's 1533-position model. The record is from RNAcentral.